RNAcentral lists this ribosomal RNA (463 nucleotides) under uncultured bacterium. Its description in RNAcentral is "partial 16S ribosomal RNA". It matches the Rfam family "Bacterial small subunit ribosomal RNA", at positions 339 to 795 of the family's 1533-position model. The record is from RNAcentral.
CUACGGGGGCACCAGUGGGGAAUAUUGCACAAUGGGCGCAAGCCUGAUGCAGCCAUGCCGCGUGUAUGAAGAAGGCCUUCGGGUUGUAAAGUACUUUCAGCGGGGAGGAAGGGAGUAAAGUUAAUACCUUUGCUCAUUGACGUUACCCGCAGAAGAAGCACCGGCUAACUCCGUGCCAGCAGCCGCGGUAAUACGGAGGGUGCAAGCGUUAAUCGGAAGUACUGGGCGUAAAGCGCACGCAGGCGGGUUGUUAAGUCAGAUGUGAAAUCCCCGGGCUCAACCUGGGAACUGCAUCUGAUACUGGCAAGCUUGAGUCUCGUAGAGGGGGGUAGAAUUCCAGGUGUAGCGGUGAAAUGCGUAGAGAUCUGGAGGAAUACCGGUGGCGAAGGCGGCCCCCUGGACGAAGACUGACGCUCAGGUGCGAAAGCGUGGGGAGCAAACAGGAUUAGAUACCCGGGUAGUC